RNAcentral lists this unclassified non-coding RNA (346 nucleotides) under soil metagenome. Its description in RNAcentral is "partial contains 5.8S ribosomal RNA, internal transcribed spacer 2, and large subunit ribosomal RNA". The stretch from base 1 to 120 matches the Rfam family "5.8S ribosomal RNA", at positions 35 to 154 of the family's 154-position model. The record is from RNAcentral.
GAUGAAGAACGCAGUGAAAUGCGAUAAUUAAUGUGAAUUGCAGAAUUCAGUGAAUCAUCGAGUCUUUGAACGCACAUUGCGCCCCCUGGUAUUCCGGGGGGCAUGCCUGUCCGAGCGUCAUUGCUGCCCUCAAGCCCGGCUUGUGUGUUGGGCCUCGUCCCCCCUCCGGGGGACGGGCCCGAAAGGCAGCGGCGGCACCGUGUCCGGUCCUCGAGCGUAUGGGGCUUUGUCACCCGCUCUGUAGGCCCGGCCGGCGCCUUAGCCGACGACACAAUCUUUUUUUUCAGGUUGACCUCGGAUCAGGUAGGGAUACCCGCUGAACUUAAGCAUAUCAAUAAGCGGAGGA